UCAAGUCAUCAUGGCCCUUACGAGUAGGGCUACACACGUGCUACAAUGGCAUAUACAAAGAGAAGCGACCUCGCGAGAGCAAGCGGACCUCAUAAAGUAUGUCGUAGUCCGGAUUGGAGUCUGCAACUCGACUCCAUGAAGUCGGAAUCGCUAGUAAUCGUAGAUCAGAAUGCUACGGUGAAUACGUUCCCGGGCCUUGUACACACCGCCCGUCACACCAUGGGAGUGGGUUGCAAAAGAAGUAGGUAGCUUAACCUUCGGGAGGGCGCUUACCACUUUGUGAUUCAUGACUGGGGUGAAGUCGUAACAAGGUAACCGUAGGGGAACCUGCGGUUGGAUCACCUCCUUA
RNAcentral lists this ribosomal RNA (349 nucleotides) under Klebsiella aerogenes. RNAcentral describes it as "bacterial SSU rRNA". It matches the Rfam family "Bacterial small subunit ribosomal RNA", at positions 1185 to 1533 of the family's 1533-position model. The record is from RNAcentral. Lineage: Bacteria; Pseudomonadati; Pseudomonadota; Gammaproteobacteria; Enterobacterales; Enterobacteriaceae.